Molecule: ribosomal RNA, 396 nt
Filed under: uncultured bacterium
Lineage: Bacteria
Description: partial 16S ribosomal RNA
Rfam family: Bacterial small subunit ribosomal RNA
Source: RNAcentral
AUACGUAGGUGACAAGCGUUAUCCGGAUUUACUGGGCGUAAAGGGCGUGUAGGCGGUCUUGCAAGUCAGAAGUGAAAUUCCUGAGCUCAACUCGGGCGCUGCUUCUGAAACUGCAGGACUUGAGUGCUGGAGGGGAUAGCGGAAUUCCUAGUGGAGCGGUAAAAUGCGCAGAUAUUAGGAAGAACACCGGUGGCGAAGGCGGCUAUCUGGACAGUAACUGACGCUGAGGCGCGAAAGCGUGGGGAGCACACAGGAUUAGAUACCCUGGUAGUCCACGCUGUAAACGAUGAAUACUAGGUGUGGGGGGACUGACCCCCUCCGUGCCGCAGUUAACACAAUAAGUAUUCCACCUGGGGAGUACGAUCGCACGAUUGAAACUCAAAGGAAUUGACGGGA